RNAcentral lists this ribosomal RNA (505 nucleotides) under Lactobacillus delbrueckii subsp. bulgaricus. RNAcentral's name for it is "bacterial SSU rRNA". It matches the Rfam family "Bacterial small subunit ribosomal RNA", at positions 76 to 569 of the family's 1533-position model. Lineage: Bacteria; Bacillati; Bacillota; Bacilli; Lactobacillales; Lactobacillaceae. The record is from RNAcentral.
UGAUUUGUUGGACGCUAGCGGCGGAUGGGUGAGUAACACGUGGGCAAUCUGCCCUAAAGACUGGGAUACCACUUGGAAACAGGUGCUAAUACCGGAUAACAACAUGAAUCGCAUGAUUCAAGUUUGAAAGGCGGCGUAAGCUGUCACUUUAGGAUGAGCCCGCGGCGCAUUAGCUAGUUGGUGGGGUAAAGGCCUACCAAGGCAAUGAUGCGUAGCCGAGUUGAGAGACUGAUCGGCCACAUUGGGACUGAGACACGGCCCAAACUCCUACGGGAGGCAGCAGUAGGGAAUCUUCCACAAUGGACGCAAGUCUGAUGGAGCAACGCCGCGUGAGUGAAGAAGGUUUUCGGAUCGUAAAGCUCUGUUGUUGGUGAAGAAGGAUAGAGGCAGUAACUGGUCUUUAUUUGACGGUAAUCAACCAGAAAGUCACGGCUAACUACGUGCCAGCAGCCGCGGUAAUACGUAGGUGGCAAGCGUUGUCCGGAUUUAUUGGGCGUAAAGCGAG